RNAcentral lists this transfer RNA (72 nucleotides) under Spirochaetaceae bacterium. Its description in RNAcentral is "tRNA-Trp". It matches the Rfam family "tRNA". Rfam says of the family: Transfer RNA (tRNA) molecules are approximately 80 nucleotides in length. Lineage: Bacteria; Pseudomonadati; Spirochaetota; Spirochaetia; Spirochaetales; Spirochaetaceae. The record is from RNAcentral.
AGGUCAGUGGCUCAAUGGUAGAGCGUCGGUCUCCAAAACCGAAUGUUGUGGGUUCGAGUCCUACCUGACCUG